This is an RNA transcript of Prosopis cineraria, 1955 nucleotides long. It is a transcript of the gene named UPF0603 protein At1g54780, chloroplastic, with no coding region annotated. The transcript is spliced from 9 exons. The record is from RefSeq and is a predicted model, not a curated record. Lineage: Eukaryota; Viridiplantae; Streptophyta; Magnoliopsida; Fabales; Fabaceae.
UGCCACCAAAAAUCUGAACGAGGUGACACAGAAAGAUGUGCCAGGCAAGAGAGCACCAACUUUCUGUUGAUGAAACCUUCUUCCUGGUUAAUCUGACUCUCUCAUCUGCUAAUCUCCCUCAUGGAAACCAUUUUCCCUCCUCACUCGCUCUCUUCCUCGAAAUUCAAAGCCUCAUCCUCCAAAAUCCUUUCGUCUUCUCCCUCUACUCGACCCAAGUUGAAUUCUCUCUUUUGCAUCAAACCCUUCCCUUCCAGUCACAGAAAGCUUCAAACGUUGUCUCUCAAGCUAUCCUUACCUAACUGCACCAGCCGGUUGAUCCAAGCUCAACAGGGACUUGCAGCUUUGGCUAUUUCCUUGGCUCUCAACUUCAGCCCACUAUUGCACAGUGACAAUGCGCUGGCUUCUGAGUUCGAUGUGCUUAACGAGGGGCCACCCAAAGAUUCGUACAUCUUUGAUGAUGCAGGAUUGCUUAGUCGAGUGAAAAGGUCGGAUUUGGAAGCCAGGAAGAAUUUUGGCAUCAAUUUUGUCACGGUUCGAAAGCUUACGAGCAAAGCUGAUGCUUUUGAGUAUGCUGACCAAGUUUUGGAGCGUUGGUACCCCACUGUAGAAGAGGGAAACAAUAAGGGUAUUGUGGUUCUCGUAACAGGUCAGAAAGAAGGAGCGGUCACAGGCGGUCCAGCAUUUGUCCAAGCUGUUGGAGAAAAGGGCCUUGAUGCCGCUGUAUCGGAGAACCUUCCAGCUGAAGCUCUUCCCUCCAAAUCACUCCUUUCUAGCAUUGAGAAUACGAAAUCCUGGUUUCAAUUCUAUGGCGAUGGGUUUGCCAUUCGCGUCCCACCUGAGUUCCAGGACAUCAAUGAACCCGAGGAUUAUAAUGCGGGACUCUCUCUUUAUGGAGACAAGGCAAAGCCAAAGACUUUUGCUGCACGGUUUGCAUCACCCGAUGGAUACGAGGUUCUCAGCGUUAUUACUCGCCCAACCAAUCAACUAAAAAUCACCUUCUUAGAGGCACAAGACAUAACUGAUUUAGGCUCUUUGAAGAAUGCGGCAAGAAUAUUUGUUCCAGGUUUAGGUUGUCCCUUUUCCACACUGCAUCAGCCAAACAAUCAGCCACCAUACCCCUUCAUCAUCGUCAUGCUUUAAACAAAUAUGCCAGUCUUUUUCCAACAGACCUCUGAUCUAGUGGAUAAACUGGAAAGUGCGCACCCUGAUUAAACUAGCAGCAACAUGAGAGUGAGCUCAACCCAAAGCUUCUUAUAGCCAUUUCCACACCAGCGAGUAACCCCGGCAAUUCAGCCUCCAAAAUACUCUGCGCAUGAGGGGCAACACUGUUCUCUGCUCGAACAAUAAAAAUCAAGGAAGAGGAUGGUUUCAGGUAAAUUCGAUUUCAAAAGGAUUAGAAUAGAACUAUCUAACAGUUGAGGGAAUUCUGAAAUGUCAAGGAUUACUGCCCGUAGCAAAGCACUUGUGGGGAGGGCCAGUCAUGAAUCUUGGAUGAAAUUAGUUUAAUGUGUAGAUGCUCUUUUUCUCCCCUUGGAGAGAAGGAGAUCACAUUAACAGCUACAAAUAGACUUACGGCAUGAGACCAAAUAUUAAUUCCUUCUCGGUGUUUUCGACUGUUGAAAGAAAUAUUCAUGCUCUCUAAAUGUUUUACUGGACACGUGGAAUUGUCUGCAUGGCCGAAUUAAUCUUUCAAGCAGUUUCGGUGUUAUCUGCAAGCAACCAUUUUGAAGCGCUGCUUGUUACGCAUACAUUUAACUUUCACAGAAAUAUUAUUCCACUGCAAUAUUAGCUUUUCUGAUUUCAGGACGUACUAUUUCUAUGAAUUUGGAAGAGAUGACGAGCACGUAGCAUUAAUGGCAGGUGUUAGCGGCGGAAAGGCAAUUAUUGCUGGAGCUACGGCGCCACAAUCCAAGUGGGACGGUGAUGGUGUGAAACUUCGUUCUGCUGCUAUAUCA